UGCUGGCUUUAACAAAGUCGGCUCCUCUUGAAUGCAUUAGCAAAACCCUGCAGAAGUGGAUAAGCUUUGGUUUGAUAAUUAUCUAUGCCAUUGCUGUGAAGCGUUUGUACUUUGAGUUGUUUUGCUUCUAAUCGUCAUCUUUGGAAGACAAUAUUUUGAACUUUGAUCUCAAAUCAGGUAGGACUACCCGCUGAACUUAA
This 200-nucleotide unclassified non-coding RNA is filed under the name soil metagenome. Its description in RNAcentral is "partial contains internal transcribed spacer 2 and large subunit ribosomal RNA". The record is from RNAcentral.